Molecule: ribosomal RNA, 253 nt
Filed under: uncultured bacterium
Lineage: Bacteria
Description: partial 16S ribosomal RNA
Rfam family: Bacterial small subunit ribosomal RNA
Source: RNAcentral
UACAGAGGGGGCAAGCGUUGUUCGGAAUUACUGGGCGUAAAGGGCGCGUAGGCGGCCUGCUAAGUCGAACGUGAAAUCCCUGGGCUCAACCCAGGAACUGCGUCCGAUACUGGUUGGCUUGAGUUUGGGAGAGGGACGCGGAAUUCCAGGUGUAGCGGUGAAAUGCGUAGAUAUCUGGAGGAACACCGGUGGCGAAGGCGGCGUCCUGGACCAACACUGACACUGAUGAGCGAAAGCCAGGGGAGCAAACGGG